Molecule: ribosomal RNA, 497 nt
Filed under: uncultured bacterium
Lineage: Bacteria
Description: partial 16S ribosomal RNA
Rfam family: Bacterial small subunit ribosomal RNA
Source: RNAcentral
GAUGAACGCUGGCGGCGUGCCUAAUACAUGCAAGUCGAGCGAACGGACGAGAAGCUUGCUUCUCUGAUGUUAGCGGCGGACGGGUGAGUAACACGUGGAUAACCUACAUAUAAGACUGGGAUAACUUCGGGAAACCGGAGCUAAUACCGGAUAAUAUUUUGAACCGCAUGGUUCAAAAGUGAAAGACGGUCUUGCUGUCACUUAUAGAUGGAUCCGCGCUGCAUUAGCUAGUUGGUAAGGUAACGGCUUACCAAGGCAACGAUGCAUAGCCGACCUGAGAGGGUGAUCGGCCACACUGGAACUGAGACACGGUCCAGACUCCUACGGGAGGCAGCAGUAGGGAAUCUUCCGCAAUGGGCGAAAGCCUGACGGAGCAACGCCGCGUGAGUGAUGAAGGUCUUCGGAUCGUAAAACUCUGUUAUUAGGGAAGAACAUAUGUGUAAGUAACUGUGCACAUCUUGACGGUACCUAAUCAGAAAGCCACGGCUAACUACGUG